UUACUGUUCUGAUCUUAACAUUUAUAGUCACAAACUGAACUUGACGUGAAAGUAUUUCGUGAUUUGACUCUUUUAGAAACGCCAGAGCCCGUGGCGUUUCCACCCAACAUAGAAACGCCGAACAAGCUAGUGUUCCUUGCCAACACGAAAACACCAAGACAACUAGCGUUUCUGCCCUGGCCCACAGUCAGUCCGAACCCGCUGUUUUCGCUGAUCUUGCAUUUCUGAACUGGAUUAAGUAACGCGCACGGGCCGCGCGGGCCUAACCCAGCCCACUUGCAGUCCCAGUCCCGGUCGGGCAGUUUCUUCAGGGACGAACUGGCGGCCGCCCCCUCCCUCUUCUUCACCAAAUCUCCCCGCCCCCUCCCUCUUCUUCACCAAAUCUCCCCCAGAUCUGCUAUUUUGAUCAUCAAAACGAGUAGAUCGGAGCAUCCCCGAGUUGCUUGAGAUAUUCUCUUCCCAAUCCUCCAUUUAUUUUCAGUCAAGAUUGGCUAUUGUAGAUGCAUUUUUUCAAACAUGGUGGAACCCUAAGAUGAGUUAUUAGUGAUGUGUUUGAUGAAUAUUUUGGUUACAUUAUGUUUAGAAAGAAGACGUAUACUCCUUGUGUUGAAGUAUUCUUAGUUAACUUGUUUAGUAUUGGAUUUAGAGAGAGACCAUUUUUUGGAUUAGGUUGAACCUAUUAUUUGUUAAUAAUUAGUUGUGAUAGAUUCUUUAUGAUAAAAUAGGUUGAAAAGAAUUGGUGUUGGUAAUGUCGUUCGUGAUUUGUAUAUUUGGGAUAAUUUGUAGUAGUUCUCACACGAUUUUGUAUAUGAUGUGGUCAUAAUUUUAAGCAUAUAUCAUAACAAAUCCAUUGACCUUAUUUUGUAAGAUGUUUGAGCCGGAUAAAUAUCCCGGCCUUGAUGAUUAUUACGAGGAGAAGCAUUGUGUUGUGCUAGUGGAAAGAGGGGAGGUUCCUCCAGUACUUCGUUUGAGAGGCCAUAACCCACGCGAGUCCCUGAAGUAUGACCGUCGCUACGAGCUUUAUUUUAGAAGAAUGGAUCUUCUCCGGUUUGUGCUCAACUUUAAAGGAACACCACCAUGCAUGGCUGAACUCGACAGCCAUUACCGCCCUUAUGGACCGUUGGAGGCCGGAGACGCACUCUUUUCACCUUGCUCUUGUUGAGAUGACCGUCGCUUUGGAGGAUAUUGCGAUGAUCUCCGGUCUUCCGAUCGAGGGCAUGGCUCUUACCGGGAAGGUGAGGUCUGAGGGGUGGCGACAAAGGGUUGCAGGUUUGGUUGGUGUUGAACCUCCCCCGUGGAUUCAUGAAACAAAGAAGGAUCCUAGGCCAUCUGGUGUUUUGUUCUCUUGGCUACAAGAACAUUUUUAUGAGUGCCCAGAGAAUGCCAGUCCGGCUGUUGUGCAGAGUUGGACGGAGCAUGUAUGAGGAGUAAGCCGAAAUCUUGUCUUGGUGGUUUUGUUUGGGCCCUACAGAUUUGGAUGUGGGAGCGUAUCCCUGUGGGCCAUAACUUCACCGUUGCUCCGGAAGAACCUUGGGAGUGGCCUUUUGACGGGGAUGAGGAGCGAUAGAUAUCCCACUAUGGCAUACACAUGGGCUAAUGUCCAAGUGUCGAGUAUCACCGUCAUGGGGCGGUACAAGGCAUACAUAAGCGAGCUUGACAUGCUUACUUACAACCAGGUUAAUUGAAGGCCGUACAUGGUACUUAGACAAUUCUCUUUGAGCAAUAUGUGUCUUCGUGACCAACAUCUUUGGUGUAUGUGUUGCCCCAUGAUAUGCUUUUUUUUGCGGUGGAGUGGCAUCUUCCACAUCAUGUUUCGAAGCAAUUUGGAGUACAACAACGCACCCUGCCGGAGUAUGUUGAGACAAGUGUGGUGCUACAUAGGACGAGCCGACAACACAACAAGAAUGUCAUUAAUUGGGAGGAUCACCAUCUUAUGUGGGUGGACAUGUGGAAUGCUCAGAGGAAUGCUUGAGUUGAAGAUGAUCACACACCUGACAACGACGAGGGGGCAUAUUUAAGGCAUUUGGAGUGGCUUCGCAAAUAGUACAGAGUUAUCCUUAAGGGUGCUUGGAUUCGUGCCGAUUGCUUGUAAGUAAUGCCAAGUGAGGCUGCUGAUGGUGCAUUCAACAACUCUAUUAGGGAGACCAUUGGAGCACACUUAGAUUAUGGCCCUCUGCAUGACCGAGUGGGCACGGAGCUAUGGAGAUGUAUCAAUGAUAGUAAUGUGGUGCUUGGCCGCGCACCUGGUAGAGAAACGAACGUUCUCGUUAGGAGUACUCUACAGAAGGUUGUGAAUCGUUGCCGAACACUAGCCUCUUUACUUUUUUGCCAUGGCGGUUCAUCCACGGAUGUGCGUGCAUGUGCUCAAUAUAGAAUGGAUGUGCUGUCUUCCGCUCGUCCAUCUUCGAGCCAAGCAUGUGCUUCUUUCGCUCGUCCAUCUUCCAGCCGAGCAGGUGCUUCUUCGAGCCAAGCACGGAUUGAUGAACAGGAAGAUGAAGAGGAGGAGACAGACUACGAUGCGGAUCCGGACUAUGUGGAGCUUGGGGCUUCGCAGAUGGAAGAUGCUCCACCACCAACUCAACGUUCUCAGCCUUCCGAAGAAGCACGCCGAGUUAGCUCAAGAACCAUCCGACGUCCUGGAUGGCAGAACACUCCAGAAGGCUACGUCAACAAGGGGAAGAUGGCUUCAAAAAGAGGCAAGAAGUGAAGUUCUAUAUGUGGUGAACUAGAAAUGUAGUUAGCGUUUCAGAUGGAGCAAACUUGCUAGUUCUAUAUCUGAUGAACUUGUUAUGCUUUAUGUCUGAUGGACUUGUUAGUUCUAUGUCAGCAAGACUUGGUAAUUAUUAUGUA
Molecule: long non-coding RNA, 2850 nt
Organism: Triticum dicoccoides
Lineage: Eukaryota; Viridiplantae; Streptophyta; Magnoliopsida; Poales; Poaceae
Exons: 7
Source: RefSeq, a predicted model, not a curated record